RNAcentral lists this ribosomal RNA (2901 nucleotides) under Klebsiella pneumoniae. Its description in RNAcentral is "23S ribosomal RNA". It matches the Rfam family "Bacterial large subunit ribosomal RNA". The record is from RNAcentral. Lineage: Bacteria; Pseudomonadati; Pseudomonadota; Gammaproteobacteria; Enterobacterales; Enterobacteriaceae.
GGUUAAGCGACUAAGCGUACACGGUGGAUGCCCUGGCAGUCAGAGGCGAUGAAGGACGUGCUAAUCUGCGAAAAGCGUCGGUAAGGUGAUAUGAACCGUUACAGCCGGCGAUGUCCGAAUGGGGAAACCCAGUGCAAUUCGUUGCACUAUCGUUAACUGAAUACAUAGGUUAACGAGGCGAACCGGGGGAACUGAAACAUCUAAGUACCCCGAGGAAAAGAAAUCAACCGAGAUUCCCCAGUAGCGGCGAGCGAACGGGGAGCAGCCCAGAGUCUGAAUCAGCUUGUGUGUUAGUGGAACGGUCUGGAAAGUCCGACGGUACAGGGUGAUAGUCCCGUACACCAAAAUGCACAGGUUGUGAACUCGAAGAGUAGGGCGGGACACGUGGUAUCCUGUCUGAAUAUGGGGGGACCAUCCUCCAAGGCUAAAUACUCCUGACUGACCGAUAGUGAACCAGUACCGUGAGGGAAAGGCGAAAAGAACCCCGGCGAGGGGAGUGAAAAAGAACCUGAAACCGUGUACGUACAAGCAGUGGGAGCACCUUCGGGUGUGACUGCGUACCUUUUGUAUAAUGGGUCAGCGACUUAUAUUCUGUAGCAAGGUUAACCGUAUAGGGGAGCCGCAGGGAAACCGAGUCUUAACUGGGCGUUAAGUUGCAGGGUAUAGACCCGAAACCCGGUGAUCUAGCCAUGGGCAGGUUGAAGGUUGGGUAACACUAACUGGAGGACCGAACCGACUAAUGUUGAAAAAUUAGCGGAUGACUUGUGGCUGGGGGUGAAAGGCCAAUCAAACCGGGAGAUAGCUGGUUCUCCCCGAAAGCUAUUUAGGUAGCGCCUCGUGAACUCAUCUUCGGGGGUAGAGCACUGUUUCGGCUAGGGGGUCAUCCCGACUUACCAACCCGAUGCAAACUACGAAUACCGAAGAAUGUUAUCACGGGAGACACACGGCGGGUGCUAACGUCCGUCGUGAAGAGGGAAACAACCCAGACCGCCAGCUAAGGUCCCAAAGUCAUGGUUAAGUGGGAAACGAUGUGGGAAGGCACAGACAGCCAGGAUGUUGGCUUAGAAGCAGCCAUCAUUUAAAGAAAGCGUAAUAGCUCACUGGUCGAGUCGGCCUGCGCGGAAGAUGUAACGGGGCUAAACCAUGCACCGAAGCUGCGGCAGCGACACUAUGUGUUGUUGGGUAGGGGAGCGUUCUGUAAGCCUGCGAAGGUGUGCUGUGAGGCAUGCUGGAGGUAUCAGAAGUGCGAAUGCUGACAUAAGUAACGAUAAAGCGGGUGAAAAGCCCGCUCGCCGGAAGACCAAGGGUUCCUGUCCAACGUUAAUCGGGGCAGGGUGAGUCGACCCCUAAGGCGAGGCCGAAAGGCGUAGUCGAUGGGAAACAGGUUAAUAUUCCUGUACUUGGUGUUACUGCGAAGGGGGGACGGAGAAGGCUAUGUUAGCCGGGCGACGGUUGUCCCGGUUUAAGCAUGUAGGCUGGUUAUCCAGGCAAAUCCGGAUAAUCAAGGCUGAGGUGUGAUGACGAGGCACUACGGUGCUGAAGUAACAAAUGCCCUGCUUCCAGGAAAAGCCUCUAAGCAUCAGGUAACAUCAAAUCGUACCCCAAACCGACACAGGUGGUCAGGUAGAGAAUACCAAGGCGCUUGAGAGAACUCGGGUGAAGGAACUAGGCAAAAUGGUGCCGUAACUUCGGGAGAAGGCACGCUGGUGUGUAGGUGAAGUCCCUGCGGAUGGAGCUGAGACCAGUCGAAGAUACCAGCUGGCUGCAACUGUUUAUUAAAAACACAGCACUGUGCAAACACGAAAGUGGACGUAUACGGUGUGACGCCUGCCCGGUGCCGGAAGGUUAAUUGAUGGGGUUAUCCGUAAGGAGAAGCUCUUGAUCGAAGCCCCGGUAAACGGCGGCCGUAACUAUAACGGUCCUAAGGUAGCGAAAUUCCUUGUCGGGUAAGUUCCGACCUGCACGAAUGGCGUAAUGAUGGCCAGGCUGUCUCCACCCGAGACUCAGUGAAAUUGAACUCGCUGUGAAGAUGCAGUGUACCCGCGGCAAGACGGAAAGACCCCGUGAACCUUUACUAUAGCUUGACACUGAACAUUGAGCCUUGAUGUGUAGGAUAGGUGGGAGGCUUUGAAGCGUGGACGCCAGUCUGCGUGGAGCCAACCUUGAAAUACCACCCUUUAAUGUUUGAUGUUCUAACGUUGGCCCCUGACCGGGGUUGCGGACAGUGUCUGGUGGGUAGUUUGACUGGGGCGGUCUCCUCCCAAAGCGUAACGGAGGAGCACGAAGGUUAGCUAAUCCUGGUCGGACAUCAGGAGGUUAGUGCAAUGGCAUAAGCUAGCUUGACUGCGAGCGUGACGGCGCGAGCAGGUGCGAAAGCAGGUCAUAGUGAUCCGGUGGUUCUGAAUGGAAGGGCCAUCGCUCAACGGAUAAAAGGUACUCCGGGGAUAACAGGCUGAUACCGCCCAAGAGUUCAUAUCGACGGCGGUGUUUGGCACCUCGAUGUCGGCUCAUCACAUCCUGGGGCUGAAGUAGGUCCCAAGGGUAUGGCUGUUCGCCAUUUAAAGUGGUACGCGAGCUGGGUUUAGAACGUCGUGAGACAGUUCGGUCCCUAUCUGCCGUGGGCGCUGGAGAAUUGAGGGGGGCUGCUCCUAGUACGAGAGGACCGGAGUGGACGCAUCACUGGUGUUCGGGUUGUCAUGCCAAUGGCACUGCCCGGUAGCUAAAUGCGGAAGAGAUAAGUGCUGAAAGCAUCUAAGCACGAAACUUGCCCCGAGAUGAGUUCUCCCUGAGACUAUAAGUCUCCUGAAGGAACGUUAAAGACGAUGACGUUGAUAGGCCGGGUGUGUAAGCGCAGCGAUGCGUUGAGCUAACCGGUACUAAUGAACCGUGAGGCUUAACCUU